This 3143-nucleotide long non-coding RNA is filed under the name Sus scrofa (pig). RNAcentral describes it as "lncRNA (ENSSSCG00065054806.1)". The record is from RNAcentral. Lineage: Eukaryota; Metazoa; Chordata; Mammalia; Artiodactyla; Suidae.
AUGAACUUGGGAAGCAGCCUGUUUGUAUCAGAGAAAAACAAGAAUGCCAAAGAGAUGGAGACUGGUAACAAGACUCUGAGAGACAGUUUGAACCUGGAAGAAGAUGCUGCGUCCUAUUGUGAUCUCUUUUGGAAUUCUUUGGGAAGUCAAAGAAGUCUGAGAGCAGUGGCUGUUGUGUCUCCAGAUACUGUAAGUAUGAAAGAAAGUACUGGGGAGAGGGCAAGGUGUAGUUACCAAAGAAUCAGGCAGGAUGCCCUCCAAAUGGGACAGAGACUAGAACAAGGCAGAAAAAUUGAAGCAGGCACUCACUCUCAGCACUGGGCAAUGUAAGGUCAGCAUGUCUUAACGUUAGCCCUGGGUGUUUCUUCUGCCUCACCCUUGUCCAGCCCUGCCUUCAGGUAAGAAUGACCUCUAAUGAACACUCUGUUUGUUUGUUUGUUUGUUUUGGGCCACACCUGUGGCAUCCAGGAUUCCAGGGCCAGGAAUGGAACCUGUACCACAGCAGCAACCUGAGCCACAGUAGUGACAGAUGAUGCCAGAUCCUUAACCCGCUGCACCACCAGGGAACUCCUCUAAUGGACACUCUUAUCUCCUCAAAUUCACUUCUGUUGCUAUAUGCCUGCUUUUCGGUUCUGACCUGUAUAUUUUAUUAAUUUUACUUGAAGAGCUAUAAUUUUAACCAUAAUCCUGAUGAAAACACAAUCACAGAAAAAAGAUAUUUUCUAUUCUUCAUACCCAGGCAUUUAAUUUUUUACAAUGUUAACUCCAAAUUAGUGAGGACCUAUGUGCCUAAAGUUAGAGAUAUUUUACAUAUAUUAUGUUUAACAUGCACUAAGAAAUUCUUUAGUCUAUGCAUCUGUAGCCCACUUAGCAGAUGAGUCCCAGAGAGAGUAAAGGACUGGUCCCCAACCUGAAAGAAGACAGGGCCACUCCCACAAGAGUGCCACAUCUGCCCUCACUUCCCGUACUCACUUCAGGCCUUAAAAUCCCUGAUUUUCUUGUUUUAAUUCCCUUAAUCACUACAAAUUCUGCCUCUUCAUCUCCAAGUCAGGUUUUUCUUACUUGAUUAUAAGAUUUUACUAUUGCUUUGCUUUUGUGGUUUCUUCCUCUUUCCCAGCUUAAAAAAAAAAAAAAAAUUCAUUGAGUUUCAGAGUAGAUCAGUAUGUCAAGUUUUCUCAAAACAUUCUUUAAAGUCAUUUUCUGACUUAAAUGUCUAGAGGGCAGAGCUAAAUGGGGCCACCAGGUAAGAAAGCAGGACGGCUCCACACACUUACAGAGGCUGAGGAAGGAGAAAUGGAAAGGAAAAAUCUUAUUAGGCUUUGUAGGUCAGGGAAAUCCUUUCUAGCCUGGAUUUUUAAACCUUCUGAAUUUUAAUUGAAAGUAUUUCCCCAGAGUAUUUACUUUAACAUGACUGUGCACUCUCAAAAUAUAUAUAUAUAUUCCCUAUCCAUAUUAGAAAUAUAUUACAAAUUCCAGGAAGACAAGAUUGCAUUACAAGGGAGAAUUCAAUGAUGUACCCUUUCUGCUUCGGACAGUAGUCAUGACAUUGCUGGCAACUACAGAAAUUUCCAGACUUCUACUGAGCAUCUCUGCUGGGAAAAAUCUAAUGCUUGUGGGUAAGAUAUAUGACUAUCUGGUCCCACCUAGGAAUCACCAUUAGUUUUUUGUUUUGUUUUAGGUGGUUUUUUUUUUUGUCUUUUUUUUUUUUUUUUUUUUUGCCAUUUCUUCAGCCACUCCCGCGGCAUAUGGAGAUUCCCAGGCUAGGGGUCUAAUCCAAACUGUAGCCACCAGCCUACGCCAGAACCACAGCAACACAGGAUCCCAGCCGCAUCUGUAACCUACACCACAGGUCAUGGCAACACCGGAUCCUUAAGCCACUGAGUAAGGCCAGGGGUCGAACCUGCAACCUCAUGGUUCCUAGUCAGAUUGGUUAACCACUGUGCCACGACAGUAACUCCACCAUUAGUUUUUGUUUGUUUGUUUUUUGUUUUUUUAAUUACUCAAAUGAGUUUAUCACAUCUGUAGUUGUAUAUUGAUCAUAACAAUCUGAUUUUAAAAGAAGUGAGCAGUACUCCUUUUGGGAGACUUAUGAUCAUUCACAUCAGAAAAUGCUCCCAAAUUAGACAGCAAAAGAUUGGUUUUAACAAACCUGGGGGUGGGGGUUAGACAGAUAUGAAAAUUAAUGAACAAAACUUUAAGUCACCCUGAUUUCCAGUUUUGGCCUUGAAUGCAAAACAUUGCUUAUUCUUUGUACAGUACACACACACACACACACACACACACACACACAUGCACACCCCAAAAGAUAGGGAUUCUCAAUGCAAAACAUAUGUGAAAUCCUUAUAACAAAUGCAAAAUCAAUAGAAAAGUAUAUAUAGAACUACCAUAUGACCCAGCAAUCUCACUCUUGGGCAUCUAUCCAGACAAAACUUUCCUUGAAAAAGACACAUGCACCCCUCUGUUCAUUGCAGCACUACUCACAAUAGCCAAAACAUGGAAACAACCUAAAUGUCCAUCCACAGAUGACUGGAUUAAGAAGAUGUGGAUAUAUAUACAAUAGAAUACCAAUCAGCCAUAAAAAGAAGAAAAUAAUGCCAUUUGCAGCAACAUGGAUGGAACUAGAGACUCUCAUACUAAGUGAUAUAAGUCAGAAAAAAAGACAAAUACCGUAUGAUAUCACUUACAUCUGGAAUCUAACAUAUGGCACAAAUGAACCUUUCCACAGAAGAGAAACUCAUGGACAUAAAGAAUAGACUUGUGGUUGCCAAGGGGGAGGGGGAGGGAGUGCGAUGGACUGGGAAUUUGGGGUUAAUAGAUGUAAACUAUUGCCUUUGGAAGGGAUAAGCAAUGAGAUCCUGCUGUAUAGCACUGGGAAUUCUAUCUACUCACUUACGAUGGAGCAUGAUGAUGUGAGAAAAAGAAUGUAUAUGUGUAUGUGUGACUGGGUCACCUUGCUGUACAGAAGAAAACUGACAGAAAAAAAGAAAAAAAAAAAAAGAAAAAUCAAGUGACAGCUAAGUGUUACUACUCAUCUUUCCUUAAUUUGUAUGUACGUAUAUCUUUGUCCAAACUAGAAAUGCUCUUCUUCCUGUUGUAUCAUGACAACCAUGAUUAUUUGUAAUAAAGUGGAUUAUAAUAAUACA